GACAGAGGGUGCAAACGUUGUUCGGAAUUACUGGGCGUAAAGCGCGUGUAGGCGGUUUCGUAAGUCGGAUGUGAAAGCCCCGGGCUCAACCCGGGAAGUGCACUCGAUACUGCGAAGCUAGAGUACUGGAGAGGUUGGUGGAAUUCUCGGUGUAGAGGUGAAAUUCGUAGAUAUCGAGAGGAACACCGGUGGCGAAGGCGGCCAACUGGACAGAUACUGACGCUGAGACUCGAAAGCGUGGGGAGCAAACAGG
This 253-nucleotide ribosomal RNA is filed under the name uncultured bacterium. RNAcentral's name for it is "partial 16S ribosomal RNA". It matches the Rfam family "Bacterial small subunit ribosomal RNA", at positions 524 to 776 of the family's 1533-position model. The record is from RNAcentral.